RNAcentral lists this ribosomal RNA (489 nucleotides) under Alternaria sp. JF-Alt29. RNAcentral describes it as "eukaryotic LSU rRNA". The stretch from base 155 to 308 matches the Rfam family "5.8S ribosomal RNA". The record is from RNAcentral. Lineage: Eukaryota; Fungi; Ascomycota; Dothideomycetes; Pleosporales; Pleosporaceae.
GAACGGGCUGGAAUCUCUCGGGGUUACAGCCUUGCUGAAUUAUUCACCCUUGUCUUUUGCGUACUUCUUGUUUCCUUGGUGGGUUCGCCCACCACUAGGACAAACAUAAACCUUUUGUAAUUGCAAUCAGCGUCAGUAACAAAUUAAUAAUUACAACUUUCAACAACGGAUCUCUUGGUUCUGGCAUCGAUGAAGAACGCAGCGAAAUGCGAUAAGUAGUGUGAAUUGCAGAAUUCAGUGAAUCAUCGAAUCUUUGAACGCACAUUGCGCCCUUUGGUAUUCCAAAGGGCAUGCCUGUUCGAGCGUCAUUUGUACCCUCAAGCUUUGCUUGGUGUUGGGCGUCUUGUCUCUAGCUUUGCUGGAGACUCGCCUUAAAGUAAUUGGCAGCCGGCCUACUGGUUUCGGAGCGCAGCACAAGUCGCACUCUCUAUCAGCAAAGGUCUAGCAUCCAUUAAGCCUUUUUUUCAACUUUUGACCUCGGAUCAGUUC